AUUGAACGCUGGCGGCAGGCCUAACACAUGCAAGUCGAACGGUAACAGAAAGCAGCUUGCUGCUUUGCUGACGAGUGGCGGACGGGUGAGUAAUGUCUGGGAAACUGCCUGAUGGAGGGGGAUAACUACUGGAAACGGUAGCUAAUACCGCAUAACGUCGCAAGACCAAAGAGGGGGACCUUCGUGCCUCUUGCCAUCGGAUGUGCCCAGAUGGGAUUAGCUAGUAGGUGGGGUAACGGCUCACCUAGGCGACGAUCCGUAGCUGGUCUGAGAGGAUGACCAGCCACAUUGGAACUGAGACACGGUCCAGACUCCUACGGGAGGCAGCAGUGGGGAAUAUUGCACAAUGGGCGCAAGCCUGAUGCAGCCAUGCCGCGUGUAUGAAGAAGGCCUUCGGGUUGUAAAGUACUUUCAGCGGGGAGGAAGGGAGUAAAGUUAAUACCUUUGCUCAUUGACGUUACCCGCAGAAGAAGCACCGGCUAACUCCGUG
RNAcentral lists this ribosomal RNA (490 nucleotides) under uncultured bacterium. Its description in RNAcentral is "partial 16S ribosomal RNA". It matches the Rfam family "Bacterial small subunit ribosomal RNA", at positions 30 to 507 of the family's 1533-position model. The record is from RNAcentral.